RNAcentral lists this ribosomal RNA (503 nucleotides) under uncultured soil bacterium. RNAcentral's name for it is "bacterial SSU rRNA". It matches the Rfam family "Bacterial small subunit ribosomal RNA", at positions 26 to 519 of the family's 1533-position model. The record is from RNAcentral.
AGAUUGAACGCUGGCGGCAGGCCUAACACAUGCAAGUCGAGCGGUAGAGAGGUGCUUGCAUCUCUUGAGAGCGGCGGACGGGUGAGUAAUGCCUAGGAAUCUGCCUAGUGGUGGGGGAUAACGUUCGGAAACGGACGCUAAUACCGCAUACGUCCUACGGGAGAAAGCGGGGGACCUUCGGGCCUCGCGCCAUUAGAUGAGCCUAGGUCGGAUUAGCUAGUUGGUGAGGUAAUGGCUCACCAAGGCGACGAUCCAUAACUGGUCUGAGAGGAUGAUCAGUCACACUGGAACUGAGACACGGUCCAGACUCCUACGGGAGGCAGCAGUGGGAAUAUUGGACAAUGGGCGAAAGCCUGAUCCAGCCAUGCCGCGUGUGUGAAGAAGGUCUUCGGAUUGUAAAGCACGUUUAAGUGGAGGAAGGUUGUAAACCUAAGUACGUUGACUAACGUUUGACGUUACCGACUAGAAUAAGCACCGGACUAACUUCGUAGCCAGCAAGCCCG